This is a long non-coding RNA of Monomorium pharaonis (pharaoh ant), 1456 nucleotides long. RefSeq lists it as uncharacterized. The record is from RefSeq and is a predicted model, not a curated record. The transcript is spliced from 2 exons. Lineage: Eukaryota; Metazoa; Arthropoda; Insecta; Hymenoptera; Formicidae.
UUUGAAAAGAGACAGUUACAAACACGCAUCAAAGAACAUCGAAACCAUAUCAGGAGAAACACUUCCACACAAUCGGUCAUAACGACGCAUAGAAUAACAUACAAUCACGAUUUUGAUUCGGAAAAUGUGAACAUUCUUGACAGGGAACAACACUUAUAUAAACGACUAAUAUCGGAGAUGGCACACAUUAAACUACAGAAAAACAGUCUGAAUGUACAAACUGAUACGAAAUUUUUGUAAGAAGCAUACAUUUCUGUUCUACAUAAAUUGCAAUAAUUUAAAAAAAAAAGAGUGGAAGCAUCAGUUCUGAAGUAAAAAAGUACAGACUAUAAGAGUUAUGAUUGGUAGAAAAUUUAAAUAGAAAAGAAGGUUAUAGCCGGCUUGAUUUAGGAACACAAUAGAUUGUAAAUGAAUGUUUCGAGAAUGACUUACCAUUAUACGUUUGAAAGACAUCUGAACAACAGUAAUCUUAUUUCGCUCACACACACGUUCAAAUUUAAGUAACGGAAUCUGUACACUUGUUCAUUUGACAGUCAUCAAAUAAGGAAGUCCACCAGUAUUGUCACAUGGACAUUGUACGUGAACAUAUAGAAGCUACACACAUGUAAACUCUGAUACACGCUGAGGAUGACUCAAAGGAGAGCCGAAACGUACGGAAUAAAGAUUAGUGUAAAUAAUAACUACACCUUACUGAAGAAUUUUAAUCAUUGCACGCAACGAGUUUCUCAUAGCCAUCGGAUCCUAUACAUUGUGAAUUUGACGAGAAACGAGAAUUUGCAAAGGUUUUAUUAUAAGAAAAAGUUGAUUAGUUUUCUCACCAGCAAUAAUCAUGUGUGCAAUAAAACUUAUGCGCAAAUGUACAUCGUCUCUCAAUUUUUAUUUAUGCACAAAAGAGCUUGUAGAUAAUCGAUCUUGUAGAUAAUCGAUCAAUAGUACCAUGUGUGCAAUAGAGCUUGUGUGCAAAAAUUCGGGUGUGCGAACGUCAUCUCUUUUUUAUUCUUGCGCAAAAAAGCUUAUAGGCAAUUGAUUUGUAAACAAUUGAUUUGUAGGCAAAAAGUUUUGUGCGCAAAAGAUUUGCUGGCAAACAGUUUAUUAGUAAUCAAUUUGUAGGCAAUUGGGGUCCUCUGGAGAAAAAAAAUUUUCAGCAAGAUUGAAUAACUUAAUGUUAUUUUUAACUAAAUUAAGUUAAUAAUUUAUAAAAUUAAAUGAAAAUAAAAGCAUGAACUAAAAGUUAAGCAGUGAAGUAAAUUGCCUAUAUGGUCUGCAUCAGAUUUUAAUGAUAAAUAUUAUUUUUCAGCUGAAAAUAUUAAAUAAAAAAAUUAUAUUUAUCACUAAGAUCUGAUGCAAACCGUAUAGACAAUUUAGUUCUUUAAUAUGUUUAAAACAUUUAUUGGUCAAAGAAUUGAUUUACUCAAAAAUUAAGGUUGCACAAGUUAAAAAUGUAAAAUUAAAUAAA